AUACGUAGGGGGCUAGCGUUAUCCGGAAUUACUGGGCGUAAAGGGUGCGUAGGUGGUUUCUUAAGUCAGAAGUGAAAGGCUACGGCUCAACCGUAGUAAGCUUUUGAAACUAAGAGACUUGAGUGCAGGAGAGGAGAGUAGAAUUCCUAGUGUAGCGGUGAAAUGCGUAGAUAUUAGGAGGAAUACCAGUUGCGAAGGCGGCUCUCUGGACUGUAACUGACACUGAGGCACGAAAGCGUGGGGAGCAAACAGGAUUAGAUCCCCUGGUAGUCCACGCCGUAAACGAUGAGUACUAGCUGUCGGGGGUUACCCCCCUCGGUGGCGCAGCUAACGCAUUAAGUACUCCGCCUGGGAAGUACGCUCGCAAGAGUGAAACUCAAAUGAAUUGGCGGGG
RNAcentral lists this ribosomal RNA (394 nucleotides) under uncultured bacterium. Its description in RNAcentral is "partial 16S ribosomal RNA". It matches the Rfam family "Bacterial small subunit ribosomal RNA", at positions 523 to 918 of the family's 1533-position model. The record is from RNAcentral.